Molecule: long non-coding RNA, 2596 nt
Organism: Magnolia sinica
Lineage: Eukaryota; Viridiplantae; Streptophyta; Magnoliopsida; Magnoliales; Magnoliaceae
Exons: 4
Source: RefSeq, a predicted model, not a curated record
CCGUCCUCUAUCUCUCUCCCUCAUACUCUCUUGAUCUCUUUCCCUUCCUCUCCCUCCCCCUCUUGAUCUCCCUCUCCUCCCUCUCUCUCGAUCUCUCUUUUCCUCAUUUUCUUCGAUGUGUUGUUCCUUCUUCGAUCUCUCUCCAACAAUCGAAGAAAGUAGAAGAAAGAAGAGAAAAUCGAAGGUAGUGAUGAAAUCUGUCCAUGACUGUUAUGGUGGUGACUAGGAAGUUUGUGGGAUUAUCCUUUAUGGUUUCAUGAAAAAAGGAAUGUAAGCUCAUGGGCCGGCUAGCUGGAGUGUCAUCCCUGUUUGGGCUGGUGGUGCCAACUGCUGGUGGCUUGGUUUCUAGUGUUUGGCUAGUAGAGGUGUGGCUGGAGAAUCCAAUGCUCUCGAGGAAGCCUGGCUUUUCCUGCUUUCGGAUUUUUGGUGCAACAGAGAAGGCUUGGUUGGGAGUUGUAGCUUUUCCCAAGUGAAGUGAGCUCCUUUUAGGCCCAAGAAGAGAUGGUGGAAGGGCUGUUUUUUUUUUUUUUUUUUUUUGGAAUUGAAAAUCAGCCUGUUUAAUAUUAAAUCUAAUGACCAAAAAUGUGUUAAUAUAUGGGUCAGAAAAUGUUUGGAUCAUGUGAAAACUAUGGCAAAACUCUCAUAUGUAUGGUAUAAGUUUGGCAAAGUAAUCUAAAAAUCAUGAUAGGCUGAAACGAUGUAACUGCUGGAAAUGGAGACCUUACAGGCUUGUUAUUAUCAAGAAGAGCCUAUGGUUCUGUACAUUGGCUAAGUUAUGAAGUCUCUAAUGUUUGUGGGUUUAGAGUAGUGAAUUUUAAAGAUAUUUGAUAGUAUCGAUAUGUCUAAAUGGUUUUCUUUUUUUUUUUUCUAGGUUUGCCAUCUGCUAAUUUUACUAUCGAAGGAACUUUUGGGAGAUUUUGAAGCAUGCAUUGAGAUGUUCAUUCCAGUGCUUUUCAAGCUGGUUGUGAUAACAGUGCUUGUAAUUGCAGAGUCUGCAGACAACUGCAUAAAGACAGUAUGAAUCAGAUAAUACUUCUUCCCUCUAUAGACAUCUUUGUUGUAAGCUUCUUUUUGCAAUAUCUUGUGGGAAUUUCAGAUGUUACGGAACUGCAAAGUUGCCCAAAUUCUUUUAAUUUUCCCUGCAUUUCUAAAACUCUAAUAUCUUUUUAAUUAUAACCUUUUUUAGAUCAUCCACCAAUCCAUCAGUUGAUAAAUUCAUAAAUCUAUCAAGCAAUUUGACAACAAACUCAUCAAGAGACACUCCAUCUGGAUAGAUAUGCUCUUCUUCUUCAACAUUUAAUUGGCUAAAAAAAAUCUGGCUCUCUUAAUUAAUCUUGCCUAUAUAGGGUUGUUGCCUAUGGUCUGAUAUGAGUAUAUACUUAUUGGACCUCGAAGUAGCUGACCAUGAGUCCUUUUAGCCGUCUUGGCCAUUCAUUACCAUAAUUAUGUUUGUGAUUCAUGACCUUAGUUAAUUGAACAAUCCUGACUUGCACCAACUGCAUUGUUUGCUGCAAGGGCACAGGCUCUUCCCUAAUCACUAGUUGAUUGUAAGGAACUGUGUAUACGAUUAUCACCUCCCAAUCCACUAUUUGAAGUCAUGGACUUGAUGAAAGGAUUCACUUUAAUAUUAACUAGUGUGGUGGUUCUAAUACUAAUUGGCAUAGCGGUUCUAAUACUAUGAUCUGUUGUGGAUAUCUCAAUCAGUAAUCUUCUUGGUCAAAUCAAGUCCAACAUCUGAUGUGCAUAGAUGUUUGUGAUUUACAUUUGAUUUUUGCAUACAGAUCAAGGAAUGGGCCAAAGCACAACAUAUCAAUGAUCCAAAGACUAGAACUUUGAAUUCAUAUUCUCUUUGUUUGCAGGUUAUCUUCCAUUAAUAAUGGUCUGAGUGGACUGUGGAGCACAUAACUCCAUAGUUAAAUACAUGAAUCAAUUAAAUUAUGGGGCCUAGAAGUCUAUUUGAUUACUUCUUCUUGGGUAUUAUGUAAAUCAUACAGUUCCUAGUGGCCAUUCAUUUGACUAGUCUUGCUUCAAAUUUAUUUUUCUUUAAGAACUAUUAUUGCUCCUUAUGUUCAAUUUUUGUUUUCUUGUGACAUUUCUUUGCAGGUUCAUCAACAUAAAUUUUGCCCAAAAUGUGUAUUGAUGAUGCUAUAAUGUUGAGACGCAUGAUGGAAGCGUCUUGGAUUGAUGGGAUGUAGUACAUGAUGAAAGUACUGGACGCUUUAAAUUUGACAUGUUGAUGAUCUGAUCAACAUACUUGUGGCCUGCCAGAUGAGUGGACUGGACUAUUUUUGUUCCAGGAGAUCUUCAUAGUGGGCUUCCUUUUCCACAGCUCGGAUGUAGUACACACAUGACAUGUUGUCCCAUAAGAUCAUUGGUGCAUUAAGCUAACCUGCAACUGUUUACAGGUAAUCAUGCUUUGCUAAGUUCACACAUGUAUGCAAGGCAGUUCAUGCACACACCAGCACUUGUCCCAUUGCAGCGUCCAGGUGCAAUGUCCAAGCUAUUCAUUAGGUGGUUUUGACCAUGUCAUGAAAGUAAAUCUGGUCCAUUCAGCAGGUGGGCCAUAAUCUUAGAAGCAGUUGGAUGGGUAAAGACA